UCCAUGUAAGUCAUUAUGUGGUGGAUGCCCCCCCCCGCCACCACAACAUUUUUGUUGUUGUACUGCUACAAACCUGGUCUAUGCUGAUAUCUACCUUGUGUUUCUCAGUGGCCCCAUUUUGGCUGCAAUCCACAGCUAUGAAAAUUGAAAAGCAACGCUAGAAUGAAUAGCAAACUAAUCCAUAGUACAUUGUUGCUAAUUCUACAAUUUAAGUGCUUAAAUAUAAUGGUUGACGGUAUCAAUAUUACUGAACAAUUAGCAUAUUCUUUAACUUCUAGUUUGAAGCAUUUUGCAGUAAUAGUAUUAUUAAGGAAGUCACUCUACCAUGGUUAUAUGUAGCAUAUUCUUAUAUUUGCUUCCCCUCCGUCACCGUCUGCAUGUCCUAAUAUGCUUCUGAAAGACACUGUCCUCUUUUAGCUGGAUAGCUGUUCUAAAAAUAUACUUCUCACUAUUCAGAAUCAGAGAGUUCUGCAUUAUUAACACAUAGAUCAGACAGCCAUGAUCUGAAGUCGUAUAAGCAAUAAGGAAAAGAUCUGAAUGCUGGAGUUUUUUCAUUAUGCGAUCCUGUAAGCUACCCUUUAAUGCUACAAGGAGGGUUUCAUAUACAGUACUUGCAGCAUCUUGCUGACUUGGUUCAUGUCUUUGGAGUUUACAUAACACUGUCUGUUCUCCUUUCCCUUCCAUAUUACUCUGUGCCUUCCUCGGGUUUGGUCAGCUACAUAAGAGUGCAGAAAUAGUUGAGAUUAAUUGCACCCCCUUCCAAGUGGCCAAAGCAACACACAAAAAAUGCUUGCCUAUAAAGAACAAACAAACCAGAAUAGUUGUUACAACACAACAAAGUUUGAAGAACUGUAUGCAGUGGAAUGCAUACCGUAGAAUGCAAAUGAGCAUUGUGAUCACAGUUGACCCACAAAUGGGACUGGCAUUAAAGUGGGGGAAUGUAAAACAAGUAUAUUUUACAGCCAGUAUGUGACUGUUAUGUGACAUGAAAUCAUUUUAGAGUGUCUUUAAACUUCUUUUGUUGUCCGCCGGCAAUUCUCUUUCUAUUCUUAAAUUGGAAAUAGAGUAGUUGCUUUGAAAGAUGAUAAUCUGAUAAUCAGGCAUCUGAACAACACGACCAGUCCAGCAAAGUUGAUAUCAUUGCUUUGACAUUGGUGAUCUUUGCUUCUUCCAGUACACUGACAUUAGUUCGCCUGUCUUCCCAAGUGAUAUGUAAAUUUUUUCGGAGACACCAUUGAUGGAAUCUUUCAAGGAGAUGGAGGUGGACAUGCUGCUUACAAGAGGUGGAAAAGAUGCUCUGGAAUGAAAAGGAUUUUGUACUGCUAGCUUCAAAUAUACAAACCAAGCAUAGGCAGAGACAGUUUAAAUACUUCUAUAAGCAUCAAUCCAGUGGCCCACAUCAGAUCAGCUAGGAGGGACAGCCCAACACCUCAGGAGAUUUUGCCUUUAGCUUACUCAGUCCAUCUCUGUGUGUUUCUCUAUCAGUGCCAAACAUGUUCCUUUUGUUCUCUGCACAUAAAUCUAGCUUGCAUCAUUCUAGCUGGAGGCUGAUGUAGGAAAGGUGUGCCACAUUCUCCAAACUUCCGAUAGUUUCCCCUACAUUCAGAACAUUGCAGAGAUAUAUUGGUGACAAGAACCCAUAUUUUUACAGCCAGAUCUCAUAAAGAGUUGUUUACUAUCCAUUAAAGAAUAUCAACUCUACAUUAUCUUGCCUGACAAAUGGUAUGGUUAGACCAGUGUACAACCUUUAAACUUUAAAACUGCUAAAUAAAAAAGGAAUUUAAAAAAUAUCCAUUUUGAGCUGAAACUGACUAUGUCAGCCAUCAACAUUUAACUAAGAUUGAGAAAACUAAGUCUUGACAGUGGCUCUGAGCCUUUCUUAACUCACCUCCGCUAAGUCCAAAGCCUUCUGAUUUUGUGCAUGGCACAACUUUUGCAGAAUUUACAAUGGGGGCAAAUUACUUUUACUCUGGGAUAAAGUACUUCCCAGCAGUGCCAGAAAUAGCCAACAGUUCCUACAGAUUCUAAUUAAUCAUUUCUAAUGACGGAUUGUAAGUAGAUUUGUGGUUCCCUCAAACUCAGUGUUGCAUCAGCCAAAGGCAAAACAUAAUGGGCACAGCCUACAGAAAAAUAAACAUGCUUACUUACUGUUGAAAUCAGAGUGAGAUAAGUUCUUAAAUGUGUGCUUGUUCCAUUGAUUUUAGCAGAAAUUAAAUAGACUUUGUACUUUUACUGUAGUCUGUGUAUUUGAUCCUUCGUGGUAAAUAUGUAUCCAAUAAAUGUGUAUUCAGUC
Podarcis raffonei (Aeolian wall lizard) is the source of this 2293-nucleotide long non-coding RNA. RefSeq lists it as uncharacterized. Lineage: Eukaryota; Metazoa; Chordata; Lepidosauria; Squamata; Lacertidae. The transcript is spliced from 3 exons. The record is from RefSeq and is a predicted model, not a curated record.